GGUUCCAUAGUGUAGAGGUUAAUACAUCUGCUUUACAUGCAGAAGGUCCUGGGUUCAUGCCCCAGGUAGAGCCA
Molecule: transfer RNA, 74 nt
Filed under: Pteropus alecto (black flying fox)
Lineage: Eukaryota; Metazoa; Chordata; Mammalia; Chiroptera; Pteropodidae
Rfam family: tRNA
About the family: Transfer RNA (tRNA) molecules are approximately 80 nucleotides in length.
Source: Rfam by way of RNAcentral